RNAcentral lists this ribosomal RNA (403 nucleotides) under uncultured bacterium. RNAcentral's name for it is "bacterial SSU rRNA". It matches the Rfam family "Bacterial small subunit ribosomal RNA", at positions 355 to 775 of the family's 1533-position model. The record is from RNAcentral.
UGGGGAAUAUUGGGCAAUGGGCGCAAGCCUGACCCAGCAAUGCCGCGUGGGUGAAGAAGGUCUUCGGAUUGUAAAGCCCUUUCGGCGGGGACGAUGGUGACGGUACCCGCAGAAGAAGCCCCGGCCAACUUCGUGCCAGCAGCCGCGGUAAUACGAAGGGGGCUAGCGUUGCUCGGAAUCACUGGGCGUAAAGGGCGCGUAGGCGGCUCUGUUGGUCGGGCGUGAAAUCCCUGGGCUCAACCCGGGGGCUGCGCCCGAAACGGCAGGGCUAGAGGACGGAAGAGGCUCGCGGAAUUCCCAGUGUAGAGGUGAAAUUCGUAGAUAUUGGGAAGAACACCGGUGGCGAAGGCGGCGAGCUGGUCCGUUACUGACGCUGAGGCGCGACAGCGUGGGGAGCAAACAG